RNAcentral lists this ribosomal RNA (301 nucleotides) under uncultured eukaryote. RNAcentral describes it as "partial 18S ribosomal RNA". It matches the Rfam family "Eukaryotic small subunit ribosomal RNA", at positions 1470 to 1796 of the family's 1831-position model. The record is from RNAcentral.
CCCUUAGAUGUCUUGGGCUGCACGCGUGCUACAAUAGUGUUUACACCGUUUGAUUUUUCAGGUAUGAAAGAUAAUUCCAGAAUGGACAAUGUAGUGGGGAUAAUUGAUUUGAAUUUUUCAAUUUCAACGAGGAAUUCCUAGUAAGUGUAGAAAAUCAUUCUGCAUUGAUUACGUCCCUGCCCUUUGUACACACCGCCCGUCGCUCCUACCGAUUGAGCAUUCCGGUGAGCACACUAGAAAUCACGUAAUGUAAUUGAAGAUGUGUGAACCUUGGUGUUUAGAGGAAGGAGAAGUCGUAACA